AUUGAACGCUGGCGGCAUGCCUUACACAUGCAAGUCGAACGGUAACAGGUUAAGCUGACGAGUGGCGAACGGGUGAGUAAUGCAUCGGAAUGUGACCAGUCGUGGGGGAUAACACUUAGAACGAAGCGCUAAUACCGCAUACGAUGGAAGGAUGAAAGCGGGGGACCGUAAGUGCUCGCGCCGUUGGAGCGGCCGAUGUCGGAUUAGGUAGUCGGUGGGGUAAAGGCUCACCAAGCCGACGAUCGGUAGCUGGUCUGAGAGGCCGACCGGCCACACUGGGACUGAGACACGGCCCAGACUCCUACGGGAGGCAGCAGUGGGGAAUUUUGGGCAAUGGGCGCAAGCCUGAUCCAGCAAUGCCGCGUGCAGGAAGAAGGCCUUCGGGUUGUAAACUGCUUUUGUACGGGGCGAAAAGGCUCUCUCUAAUACAGGGGGCUGAUGACGGUACCGUAAGAGUAAGCACCGGCUAACUACGUGCCAGCAGCCGCCGUAA
RNAcentral lists this ribosomal RNA (493 nucleotides) under uncultured bacterium. Its description in RNAcentral is "partial 16S ribosomal RNA". It matches the Rfam family "Bacterial small subunit ribosomal RNA", at positions 29 to 523 of the family's 1533-position model. The record is from RNAcentral.